Molecule: non-coding RNA, 21 nt
Filed under: Arabidopsis thaliana (thale cress)
Lineage: Eukaryota; Viridiplantae; Streptophyta; Magnoliopsida; Brassicales; Brassicaceae
Source: RNAcentral
UUGUUAAAGAAGAUGGAACAA